CUUUUCAGGGAACCCAGGAUAACUCAGUGAACUUUACAUUAUCCAAUACAAAAGUUGUUCUAGCGAUUUCAGAUAUUUUACUUUUAAGUUUUAAACUAAUACCGAUUUUUACCGGUUCAAAAAACCCAAACAAAAAUUAGUUAGGAAAGUCUGGUCCCCCAAUCAUAUUCAGUCGUUAAAAAU
Bradysia coprophila is the source of this 183-nucleotide long non-coding RNA. The record is from RefSeq and is a predicted model, not a curated record. NCBI's taxonomy places the organism in Eukaryota, Metazoa, Arthropoda, Insecta, Diptera, Sciaridae.